AGUGAAUAGCACGGUGACGUUGCAGUAAGAUGGAUAGUGGGGAGGCUCCUGCCCAGCGGCCAGUCACCUUGGACAUCACAGUGGAAGAUGUAACCAAGGAAACCCCAGGCCCAGACCCUCCGGAGCCAGCCACCAGCCAGACCCCUUCCAGAGAAAACAUCAUUUCCCAGGAGGACAGCAUCGACUUGGGUGGGGACUUUGCCACCCCGCAGGACAGCAGCGCUACACCUUCAGAGAGCCUGUUGGACAAGCUCAAUGACCAGAUGAUGGAGAGCGUCAUGAUUUCUGACUCACCUAAUAACAGUGAGGAGGAUGAUGUAGCUCCCAUUGACUCCUUUCUGGAUGGAGGGGAGGAGGAAGAGAAUGCACCAGAGACAUCAGAUGACAAAGAGGAUCAAAGUGAAAUUGGACAGAAUACAACUGAGAUUCAAGUUUCAAUCGAGGAACAGGAGAAAGGUGGUGCUGUGGAGGACUUAGAUGAGGAUUCCAAGGAACAGACAGACACACAAGAGCAAGUCACAGCCUGUGUUUCCCCUCAAGGUGACACGCAGAGCCCAUCUGAUCUUAAAAGUGGGGAACCAUCACCACAAGAAGCUAAAGGGACAAGCCCAAAGGAAGAACCUAUACCUGUAUGCACCAUAUUCAGCCAGGGCACCCAGCCGAAGUCUCUGGUGCCUGAUGGCUUCCAGCCCACCCUUAUCAAGUCCCCCAGCUUCAGCAUGGGGACUGGUGGAGGAACCGAUGAAGCAGUGACCCCAAGCAAGCUGACGGCCCCUCUUGUGUGCCAGCCCAGCCCCAGCCUCAGUAAGUUCUUCACUGACAAUGGACAGGUCAACCCAGCCUCUGAUUUCUUUGAUUCCUUCACUGCCCCCUCCUCCUUCAUCUCUGUUUCAAACCCAAAUGCUGAGAUCCCUCCUGGUCCCAGCCCAGCGCCCAUAGCUCCCACCCCUGAGCGCCAGCUCUCUUCCACCUCCUCCUCCAUCUCCACCCCUGGAGGACCUCUGGACUCUGGUGCUCCCACCCCUAGUUCAGUGUUUAGCCCUGCCCCUACUGUAGCCACCUCCAAGUCCCAACCUCCUCCACCCCAAGCAGCCCCAGCUCCAACUCAAGCCCCCGCCCCGGCUACUCAGCCUUUCAAUCAGCUCCAAGCAGUGUUCUCGGGCAGUGAUGAUCCAUUUGCGACAGCACUGAGCCUGAGUGAGGUGGACAGGCGCCAUGAUGCCUGGCUGCCAUCUGAGGAGACCAGGAAGGUGUUGAUCUCUGUAGCCACCCAGCAGUACAGCCCAGCCUAUGUAGAGACCAACAGACUCACCAUGCCUGGACUCAAGUUUGACAAUCUUCAGGGCGACGCUGUAAAAGACUUAAUGCUUCGUUUCCUUGGAGAACCAGCAGCAAUGAAGCGCCAGGUCCUGACUGCCAACUCUGUGGAACAGUCCUUUACAGGCCUCAAACAGCUCAUCAGCAGUAAAAACUGGCGGGCUGCGGUGGAUCUGACGGGCCGGCUGCUGACAGCUCAUGGUCAGGGAUAUGGAAAGGCUGGCCAGCCAACCUCCCACACCACCGACUCACUGCAGCUCUGGUUUGUGCGGCUGGCCCUCCUGACCAAGCUGAACCUCUUCCAAAACGCUGAACUGGAGUUUGAGCCCCUUGGCAACCUGGAUCAACCAGACCUCUACUAUGAGUACUACCCCACUGUUUACCCGGGGAGAAGAGGCUCCAUGGUGCCGUUCUCCAUGCGGCUGCUGCAUGCCGAGCUUCCCCAGUACCUGGCCAAGCCCCAGGAGGCUCUGGACCGCCUGCACAAUCUCAAAACCGUCUGCCUCGCUAUUCAGGAGAACUUGGAGAAAGGCUUGGCUGAGGAUGGCAGCAUGUUCACCGUAACACAAGAGAACAGGCAAGCGUCACUUAAGCUGUGGAGGUCUCGCCUCAGCCGGGUCAUGUACUCCAUGGCCAACUGUCUACUGCUGAUGAAGGACUAUGUUCUGGCUGUGGAGACCUAUCACUCCAUCAUCCAGUAUGAACCCCAGCAGAGAGUGCAGCUGCUCAGUGGUAUAGGACGCAUCUUCUUGCAGAUCGGAGACGUUAAAACUGCAGAGAGGUACUUCCAGGAUGUGGAGGAAGUCUGCCAGAUGAAAGGGAGCCAGCCCAGUCACACCACAUGCGUGCUGAUGAACAGGGCCUUCGUCUACCUCAGUCAGAACAACUACGCUGAAGCUCAUGCAUCCUUCACUGAAGUCUUGAAAAUUGACCCGAAAAACCCUGUUGCCAACAACAACGCAGCAGUUUGCCUGCUCUAUCUCGGCCGUCUGAAGGAGUCCCUGGGCCAGCUGGAGGGCUUGGUGCAGCAGGACCCUGCGCUCUACCUCCAUGAGAGCGUCCUCUUCAACCUGACCACUAUGUACGAGCUGGAGUCAUCUCGCAGCACCCAGAAGAAGCAGGCUCUGCUGGAGGCCGUGGCCUGUCGGGAGGGGGACAGCUUCAACACACAGUGCCUCAAACUGGUCUAAGAGGCAAGAAUAAGAACUGGGAGGGGACAAACACUAUUGCAUUCUCAUCCAGUGCGACAGGGAAUAAAAGCCCAAGAGUAGAAUCCUAGAGGAGUAGAAAGCUCUAACUCCAGUGAAAGUGAGGUGACAGAGAAGUAAAUGUUUAGUGCUUGUUUCGGUUUCCCAGAAUCAGGUUGAUAUAAGAUCUUUCAGAACUGGUUUUAUACUUCUAAAAUGGAUCUGGGAAGCCCAGGCAUGCAUUUCUUUUCACAUCAGCCUGCAGGGGGGCACGGCACUCCUAUCCUUGUAGAGGGUGACCCAGUAAUGACUCAUGCAUUUACUUACAGGAACAGAAACGGUGGCCAGCUCACACAAGUUGUGCGCAGAAUGUUCAUUUUACUUUACAGAUUAAAGGAGUAGUUUGACAUUUUGGGAAGUUUUGCAUAUUUGCUUUCAUGCUGUAAGUUAGAUGAGAACAUCGAUACCACUCUGUUUGUGCCGUAAAUAUCAGGCUUUAGGGAAAAUUCUGAUAAUGUGAUUGUGAUACAGAAGGGUCUUCAAAAUCUGAUCAACUGGAAGGAUACACAUUUUGUAGGGAGGUUGCUGUUUGCUUUAGUUUACUCUUCUUGCAUUAGAAUCAGAGGACCUGUAAGGAACUGUUCUGUUGCAACAGGUUGUUUAACAAGCUUCACCAGCUUUUUACCUGGUUGUAGGGAGUUUUCGAAAUGUGUCAGGGACAGCAAUAUUGUGUGUUUCUUCACUGAUUAACUUCUUACUUACUGACUUACUUACUACAAACAGACAAGCUCAUCUUGCAAUGAUCCCUCAAGAUUGUCCUGCUAAGCAGUCCAGCACAUAAUCCCUCUGAAAACACUUUGUGCUAACUUAAGCUAACCAGCUGCUAGCUCUAACUUCAUAUUUAGCAUGUAGAAAUUAAACUUAAUAUGAAGCUACAGGCAAGAGACAUUUAACUUAGCUUGAAGACUGUAAAUAGGGUAACAGCUAGCCUGGUUCUGUCCAAAGGUAACAAAAUUGGCCAACCAACAUGUCUAGAGCUCACAAAUUAACAUGUUUGGCGGAUUUUUUUUUUUUUUUUUUUUACCUUUACAGGCUAGCCAUUUCCCCCUGCUUCCAGUUGUUGUGCUAACUAAAGCUAACCAGCUCCUAGCUCCAACCAGUAUUUAGUGUGCAGAUAUUAUGCUAAAUAUGAAGCUACAGGCAGGAGACUGCUAGCUCAGCUCAAAGACUGUAAACAGGUAACAGCUAUCCUGGUUCUGUCCAAAGGUAACAAAAUUGGCCAACCAGCACCUCUAAAGCUCACACAUUAACAUGUUAGGCAGAUUUUUUUUCACCUUUACAGGCUAGCCAUUUCCCCCUGCUUCCAGCUUUUGUGCUAACUAAAGCUAACCAGCUCCUAGCCAGCUCCUAGUGUGCAGAUAUUAUGCUAAAUAUGAAGCUAUAGGCAGGAGACAGCUAGCUUAGCUCAAGACUGUAAACGGGUAACAGCUAGCCUGGUUCUGUUUAAAGGUAACAAAAUCCACCUACCAACAUGUCCAAAGCUCACAUAUUAACAUGUUAGGCAGAUUUUUUUAACCUUUGGAGAGCCAGGCUAACUGUUUCCCCUGCUUCCAGUCUUUAUGCUAAGCUAAGCUAAUCGGCUGCUAGCUGUAGCUUCAUAUUCAACGUACAGACACGAGAGUGGUAUCAAUCUUCUCAACUGAAGCUCUGUAAGAAAGCAAAAGUAUUUCCCAAAAAGUUUAACUGUUCCUCUAAAUGUUUUAUCAAAGAUAUUCAACUCAUACAACAAGCAUUGUGAGAUUGGAACAGACUUCAGAGCAUAGAUGUACAUUGCACUACAGACUGGUGGCAGUGUUAAGGGAGUUGCAGGCUCAUAAUGCGAGUCUUGACACGGGCAUUAUCCUGAGCUUCAGUGUGCUUAAAGACUAAUAAACUACCACCGAGUUCCACAGCCUCUUCCUCAGCAGACACCUGUAAUACUGGAUUAAAAGUCAAGGACCACUCCAUUUCAGCUGCCAGGUUUAUUAACUCAUGCAGUGAAAAUAGAUAAGCCCUUCAGAUUGCAUCAUAACCUGUUCACUAGGCAAAACUAAACAGUAUAAGGAAUCCAAAAUUGUACAUAUCAGAGAAGCUGUUUUUUCUGUUUAAAUGGUUAUAUUAAAAAUGAUUGUCUUGUUAAAUCUUUUAUUGAUUUGUCCUGGUGGAUCUUUAAUUAUCACUGUUUAUAUAUUGUGUUGAUCAUAUUUAUGUAUAUUAAAAUGUGUUUUACCCUCAAUAAACUGUAUUUUAAAUCAACCCAU
Molecule: RNA transcript, 4804 nt
Organism: Epinephelus moara (kelp grouper)
Lineage: Eukaryota; Metazoa; Chordata; Actinopteri; Perciformes; Serranidae
Gene: trappc12
Gene name: trafficking protein particle complex subunit 12
Exons: 13
Source: RefSeq, a predicted model, not a curated record